This 474-nucleotide ribosomal RNA is filed under the name Streptococcus mitis. RNAcentral describes it as "bacterial SSU rRNA". It matches the Rfam family "Bacterial small subunit ribosomal RNA", at positions 28 to 484 of the family's 1533-position model. The record is from RNAcentral. Lineage: Bacteria; Bacillati; Bacillota; Bacilli; Lactobacillales; Streptococcaceae.
GACGAACGCGGCGGCGUGCCUAAUACAUGCAAGUAGAACGCUGAAGGAGGAGCUUGCUUCUCUGGAUGAGUUGCGAACGGGUGAGUAACGCGUAGGUAACCUGCCUGGUAGCGGGGGAUAACUAUUGGAAACGAUAGCUAAUACCGCAUAAUAGCAGUUAUUGCAUGAUAACUGUUUGAAAGGUGCAAUUGCACCACUACCAGAUGGACCUGCGUUGUAUUAGCUAGUUGGUGGGGUAACGGCUCACCAAGGCGACGAUACAUAGCCGACCUGAGAGGGUGAUCGGCCACACUGGGACUGAGACACGGCCCAGACUCCUACGGGAGGCAGCAGUAGGGAAUUUCGGCAAUGGACGGAAGUCUGACCGAGCAACGCCGCGUGAGUGAAGAAGGUUUUCGGAUCGUAAAGCUCUGUUGUAAGAGAAGAAACGAGUGUGAGAAGUGGAAAAGUUUCAACACUGGGACGGAUUUUACC